This 496-nucleotide long non-coding RNA is filed under the name Homo sapiens (human). Its description in RNAcentral is "HSALNT0344561". The record is from RNAcentral. Lineage: Eukaryota; Metazoa; Chordata; Mammalia; Primates; Hominidae.
CUGUGGAGUUCUUCAUUCCCACAUCUGUGGACCUUAAAAUCCUACGGUUGAGUGCCUGCCUUGGAUCAGCAGUCGGUUCGUUACCUUGGUUCUCAGACGAUGCUUGCAACAACGCCAUGCGAUUCGCCCACUCUUGGAGAAAAUAAGAGAAGUAUCCCUGAAGGAUGAAAUAUCCUCAAAUAUGAAAAGGUCUGCUCUCUGAAGACCAACUGUCUCAGUCUGCUUUUUGCUGCUGUAACAGAAUACCACAGACUUGGCAGAGAAGCCUUCAGAGAAGGAUCCUGACUCGGUGGUUUGUGCAGUGACAUUUGGCAGUGUUUGCUCGGCAAGAGAGCCUUUGAGGCUGCCCUCAUGCUGCUCAGUGGGCACACCAAGAACAAGAGCUGGCCAGGGAUGACGGACGCAUCUAGGCCUUCUCGGCCUAAGGGCAAGUCCCAUUCUUCCUUGAUAGGUCUUUAGAUGUACCAGUCAGCAAAUGUCAUCCCCCUCUGCAUUC